Molecule: long non-coding RNA, 2122 nt
Organism: Piliocolobus tephrosceles (Ugandan red Colobus)
Lineage: Eukaryota; Metazoa; Chordata; Mammalia; Primates; Cercopithecidae
Source: Ensembl
UUUUUCUCUUUUUUUUCGAUUUCCUUAUUUCUUAUAUUUUAAUGAUUUAAUUAUUCGUUUAUUCGUUUAUUUGCUUAUUUGCUUAUUUGCUUAUUUGCUUAUUUGCCUUUUGCUUAUUUGCUUAUUUGCUUUUUGCUUAUUUGCUUUUUGCUUAUUUGCUUUUUGCUUAUUUGCUUAUUCUUUACCCCCUCGCAGUUUAGCAGUAAGCCACAAUACAUACGGCAAUUUGGAAUUUUUAAAAGAAAAAAAAAAAAAUAAAUAAAAUAAUUUAGCCCUGUACUAUACAGAAUAAACAAAAAUUAAAUAUGUAACUGCCUUUACAUCCUUUUCUAUUUUUUUUUUACAUUCAUGAAUUUUCAAAAAUGAUUGAAUAUACAUAGUGACGAAUGAGCGAAUUAUUUAAUCGACAAACGAUCAAACUGAUUAGUUGAUAAACGAGAGAACAGUUGAACAGACAAGUGGACAUAAAAAACUAACAGAAUGCGAAUACGCCUAUAUAACACACUGUAUGCUUUCUUAUCCCUUAUAAGCGGUAUAUUAUCAUAUAAUGGAAAAAAUACAAACCAAAUUGUAAUUGGAAAUAUACAAAAGUCGUAUGAUUUUAAUUUUAGUAAAAAAAGAAAAAACACAAAGUUAAAUAGUUUUUGUUCUUUACAAUGUAAUAAUAUGAAAAUACUACAAAGAAAAAAAGUGAAAAAUAAAAUAAAAUUUUAUUUUAUUAACAAGUUUCAACCGUUUUGUAGUGUAAACGGAGAGGAGAAGAGAGAGCUCAAAUGUAGUAGUACCAACCGUAACAUAUAUAGUUACAGUAGUAAACGAAAAUUUCGAUGUAACAGUUAUGAUGCAAAAGAUAUAGUAAUUUUAGAAGGGUUAGAAGCCGUUCGAAAAAGGCCUGGGAUGUAUAUAGGCAAUACUGAUGUGAGUGGUUUGCACCAAUUGUUAUUUGAACUUGUUGAUAAUGCUGUAGAUGAAUAUAAUAAUUUUGAAUGUAAUAAAAUAAAAGUAAUUAUUCAUUCUGAUGAAAGUAUAACAGUUGAAGAUAAUGGAAGAGGUAUCCCUUGCGAUAUACAUGAGAAAACGGGAAAGUCCGCAUUAGAAACUGUUUUAACAGUUUUACAUUCUGGUGCCAAAUUUUCUGAUGAUUCUUCUGAAAACAAUAUUGUAAAGAGUGAUGAGUAUAAAACAGUGGAAUGUGAAAAAUCACGUGACCGUAUCAACGGGAACCAUCCAUUUGGUAAAGAUUUAUCAGAGAACGCAAUCGAAUGGGACAGUAGUAAUAGUAACAACCCAAAAAAAAACAAAGCGAAGCAACAAGAAAACAACCAAAUGUAUAAAUAUUCAUCAGGAUUACACGGAGUCGGUCUAUCAGUUUCUAACGCAUUAAGUAGUUAUAUGAAAGUGAAGGUAUUUCGAAAUAAAAAAAUUUAUAAUAUUGAACUUGAAAAAGGUAAAGUUGUAAAAGAGUUAAAUGUGACUGAUGCUGAUUACGCUAUAGAUAGAAGAGGAACACAAAUACGUUAUAAAGCUGAUAGUACAAUUUUUCGAAAUAAUAUAAAAUAUAAUAGUGAAAUAAUAAAAAAACGUUUCCACCAGUUGGCAUAUCUGAAUGACAAAUUAAGUUUUUAUUUUUACGAUGAAAGAGUUGGGUUUAACAAAAAUGUUAAGAAAAACGCAUCAUCUAAAAAUGAUAAUAUAACGAAUGGGACGAAUGAAAAUAGUGAAACUGGAUUGGAAGAAAUAGACCUAGCAGAAAUAAACUUGUCUGAUUAUGAUGACAAUUUAAAUAAAUACAAUUUUGAAAUAAUAAAACAUGAAGGAGGACUAAAUGAAUAUAUUGAAGAUUUAACAAAAGGUUCACAAAACUUAUUUAAAGAGAAUGAUAAAAUAAUUAGUUUAUCUUGUUAUAGAAAUAAUGUACAUGUUGAUUUAAAAAUGAAGUGGGUAGCUAAUAAUUACAAUGAGAAUAUCAUAAGUUUUGUAAAUAAUGUUAAUACAAUUAAUAAUGGUACACAUGUUGAUGCUUUAAAAUACGCAAUAACUAAAUGCGUUAAUUAUAGUAUAAAAAAAACGGAUUCUAUUAAAAAUUUUAUUAAUGUACCAGGUGAAUAUAUAAGAGAAGGGU